GACGAACGCUGGCGGCGUGCUUAACACAUGCAAGUCGAACGCUGAAGCUCAGCUUUUGUUGGGUGGAUGAGUGGCGAACGGGUGAGUAACACGUGAGUAACCUGCCCCCUUCUUUGGGAUAACGCCCGGAAACGGGUGCUAAUACUGGAUAUUCACUGGUCUUCGCAUGGGGGUUGGUGGAAAGGGUUUUUCUGGUGGGGGAUGGGCUCGCGGCCUAUCAGCUUGUUGGUGGGGUGAUGGCCUACCAAGGCUUUGACGGGUAGCCGGCCUGAGAGGGUGACCGGGCACAUUGGGACUGAGAUACGGCCCAGACUCCUACGGGAGGCAGCAGUGGGGAAUAUUGCACAAUGGGCGCAAGCCUGAUGCAGCGACGCCGCGUGAGGGAUGGAGGCCUUCGGGUUGUGAACCUCUUUCGCUCAUGGUCAAGCCGCAACAAUGGUUGUGGUGAGGGUAGUGGGUAAAGAAGCGCCUGCUAACUACGUG
RNAcentral lists this ribosomal RNA (483 nucleotides) under uncultured bacterium. RNAcentral describes it as "partial 16S ribosomal RNA". It matches the Rfam family "Bacterial small subunit ribosomal RNA", at positions 28 to 507 of the family's 1533-position model. The record is from RNAcentral.